GGCCUUGUAGCUCAGCUGGUUGAAGAUGCGCUGUACAAAAGCGUAGAGGGUGUCCAUGUGUGGGUUCGAAUCCCACCGAAGCUA
RNAcentral lists this transfer RNA (84 nucleotides) under Echinostoma caproni. It matches the Rfam family "tRNA". From Rfam's summary of the family: Transfer RNA (tRNA) molecules are approximately 80 nucleotides in length. Lineage: Eukaryota; Metazoa; Platyhelminthes; Trematoda; Plagiorchiida; Echinostomatidae. The record is from Rfam by way of RNAcentral.